Molecule: long non-coding RNA, 1720 nt
Filed under: Salmo salar (Atlantic salmon)
Lineage: Eukaryota; Metazoa; Chordata; Actinopteri; Salmoniformes; Salmonidae
Description: lncRNA (ENSSSAG00000110732.1)
Source: RNAcentral
GAAGUAAUGAAAUGGUAUUGGGGUUUUAAGGUAAGUGGUACACUGUUCAGCUAAAAUAGUGAAAAUAUCUUUAAUCAACAUGAUUACAUUUGACAUGAUCCCUUAGUACUGACUUUUCAAAACUCACAACCUCUGGAUUUAGAGUACGCUGAUCUUUCUGCUGUGCCAGAAAGUCUGUAGCAUUCUCAGAAGUCCCCGACAGAUUCAUGACCUAUAAUACAUCUCUGCACUUAGCAAAAGAGUGUCAUCUGCACUGCUAUUUUAGUCAUCAGUUAAUCUGACUUUUCUCUCAUCAUUGAUUUAAUUGACUUAUUUCAGUAAUUUGAGGGUUUUCUGUGUAGUCUAAUGUUGGUGAGACAUAUUAUUCUGUUUCAAUGUUACUCCUGAAUAACUAUGAUAAAUAUAAUCGUUUUUUGUGUGUGUGUGUAUUUGUAACAAUGCUGAGAUUUACUUUGAAGUCCAAAGUUUGGGAACACAGGUGAAAUCAGUCAUUGACACAGACAUGGUGGCGUAGCAGGAAGAUCUGAAUGCUGUGAACCAAGAGGUUGUGAGUUCAAAUCCCAGAUGAGGAUAUGUUGAAUAAUUACUGUAUAAAUAAACAUACGCAAUGUAAUCAUGUGUGUCUAAUAUGUCAGUUGAAAACACUGCGACUGCGUGAUGUUCCGGGGACAUUCUAACAACACAUUUUUGUUUGCAGGGCAUCACCUGUGAAAUCUCACGUGAAAAAUAUCCAUUGUUCCAAAACCACAUGGUUUCACGUGUGAAAUUUCAGAUGUGAAAUAAAAUGCGCAAACCGUGAAAUCAUGUCAUUUUUCCAUAAGCGGAAGAUGUAUGAUUACCAUCCCCGUGAGCGUACCACCCUCCUUCAGGCCAUGGAAGACGCAUGCAAUGAUUUCAAUCCGGACCUAUUUAGACCAAAAGGUUUCUCCCAAGGUACAUGAACAAUGAGGAUAUUUACUGCCGUUUCGAUCAAAACCUAUGGCCAAAUGCUCAAGACAGGCUUGAUUGCAAACUAGUGCCUGCUAAAGAUUGUUUCUUUAAUUUCUUUAAUUUGAUUACAUUGUGAAAGAUGUCUUCAAUGAUCACGCCUUUGAUCACACAUGGGAUAGAAAUGAUGGAAAUGUGAUGUUCAGUCAAUUUCAAUGGGUAGUGCAGGUGUAUAGCCUAAUGUAAAACAGUGUAAUGUACUGUAAUGUACAGUACUGUAGCAUACUACAUUCAAAGGACAAUUUUAAAACAUGCAUGUUUUGGUAUGGGAUUAACUGGUUGUUAAAAUAACUAAAUUGAGAAUAUAUCAUUAUGUUGUGUUUUUGUGAUUAAACCAAUGUACUCAUUAUAUUUCACAGUAAACUUAUAUUUUGGAUCAAUGGUUGUGUGGUGAAAGAUCUUUACAAACAAAAUGAACGCACAAUGAAAGGUUUUGAAUGUAAGACUGGCUGUGUUGCAAGUGUUACCAGUUUGGAGUUUUGUACUAAAGUUGAAAAAAUGAAUCACAUACUUGUGAAAGUAGUACCAACGAGAUACAACUGUAAUAUAACAUGUGAUUCCAUCUCAAUAGAGAUCCAGCUCUAAGCUCCUGUAUAUUUGUUGGUCUGGACUGUAAAUAUAUCAUUUCUACUAUUCCAUGUUGUCCUUACAACUGUUUCAAUGGAUCAUUUGUAUAAAGAAGUUUAUGGAAACAAGAUUUGAAUGUUAUCUCAAGGGGUCAUUUACGUGUGUG